UUACGGUCAUAUCAGGUUGAAACACCAGUUUUCAUACAACCACCAAAGUUAAGCAACGUCGAGCCUGGUCGGUACCUAGAAGGGUGAACGCUUGGGAAUACCUGGAGCGGCAA
Non-coding RNA from Acanthosepion pharaonis, 113 nucleotides. The record is from the annotation of a GenBank genome assembly. NCBI's taxonomy places the organism in Eukaryota, Metazoa, Mollusca, Cephalopoda, Sepiida, Sepiidae.